AGUGUGUCUGGCUGCAGGACCUGUUGAAAGCCAGUUCGCGCCCCUGCAGCUAGGCAGCCUGGAGCGCCGAGGCUGCGAGAACCGGUGUGGAAACUUGCAGUGGGUGGAGAGGCGGGAGAGCGGGCGGGAGAGGGACCACCCCGCGCUGCGGCUGAAGGCUGGCCCCCGAGCUGUGGGCUGCGCGAGGUGGGCUCACUCUCCGCAGCUGGGGGCCGCGAGCCAGGGGCCCGGAGCAACUGCUCCGGGAAAAGCACGUGUCCGCCUUUUAGAGACCGCCAGGCCGGGGUUCACCUGUACGCCAUCAUACCUGCCCAUGAGUCUUUGAGAACAUUAUAAUGUCCCUUUGUGCCUCUUCUCACAAAGAGUUUCCUCAGCUGUUACCUGUUCAAGACAUGGAUAUCAAAAACUCACCAUCUAGCCUUAACUCUCCGGCUUCCUACAACUGCAGUCAAUCUAUCCUACCUGUGGAGCACGGCCCCAUAUAUAUACCUUCCUCCUAUGUAGAGAGCCACCAUGAAUAUUCCGCCAUGACCUUCUAUAGCCCCGCUGUGAUGAAUUACGGUAUUCCCAGCAGUGCCAGUAACUCAGAAGGUGGGCCUGGUCGACAGACCACAAGCCCAAAUGUGUUGUGGCCAACUCCUGGACACCUCUCUCCCUUAGCCAUCCAUUGCCAGUCGUCACUUCUGUAUGCAGAACCUCAAAAGAGUCCUUGGUGUGAAGCAAGAUCACUAGAACCCACCUUACCUGUAAACAGAGAGACACUGAAAAGGAAAGUUAGUGGGAGCAGUUGUGCCAGCCCUGUUACUAGUCCAAGUUCAAAGAGGGAUGCUCACUUCUGUGCGGUCUGCAGCGAUUACGCAUCUGGAUAUCACUAUGGAGUCUGGUCGUGUGAAGGAUGUAAGGCCUUUUUUAAAAGAAGCAUUCAAGGACAUAAUGAUUACAUUUGCCCAGCUACAAAUCAGUGUACGAUAGAUAAGAAUCGACGCAAAAGCUGCCAGGCCUGCCGACUUCGGAAGUGCUAUGAAGUGGGGAUGGUCAAGUGUGGCUCCCGGAGAGAAAGGUGUGGGUACCGUGUUAUGCGAAGGCAGAAAAGUUCAGAUGAGCAGCUGCACUGCCUGAGCAAAGCCACGAAAAAUGGUGGACCCGUGACCCGAGUGAAGGAGCUGCUGCUGAGCGCCCUGAGCCCGGAGCAGCUGGUGCUCACGCUACUGGAGGCGGAGCCGCCCCACGUGCUCGUGAGCCGCCCCAGCACGCCCUUCACCGAGGCCUCCAUGAUGAUGUCCUUGACCAAGCUGGCCGACAAGGAGCUGGUGCACAUGAUUGGCUGGGCCAAGAAAAUUCCAGGCUUUGUGGAGCUCAGUCUCUACGACCAAGUGCGCCUCUUGGAGAGCUGCUGGAUGGAGGUGCUGAUGGUGGGGCUGAUGUGGCGCUCCAUUGACCACCCGGGCAAGCUCAUCUUUGCUCCAGACCUCGUUCUGGACAGGGAUGAGGGGAAAUGCGUAGAAGGAAUUCUGGAAAUCUUCGACAUGCUCUUGGCAACAACUUCAAGGUUCCGUGAGUUAAAACUCCAACACAAAGAGUAUCUCUGUGUCAAGGCCAUGGUCCUCCUCAACUCCAGUAUGUACCCGUUAGCUGCGGCAACCCCGGAGGCUGAGAGCAGCCGGAAGCUGACCCACUUGCUGAACGCAGUGACCGACGCUCUGGUCUGGGUGAUCGCCGAGAGCGGGAUUCCCUCCCAGCAGCAGCCCGUGCGCCUGGCUAACCUCCUGAUGCUCCUUUCUCACGUCAGACACGCCAGUAACAAGGGCAUGGAACACCUGCUUAACAUGAAAUGCAAGAACGUGGUCCCAGUCUACGACCUGCUGCUGGAGAUGCUGAAUGCACACACGCUUCGCGGGUACAAGUCCUCGCUCACCGGGGCCGAGUGCAGCCCAGCAGAGGAGAGUAAGCACAGGGAGGGCUCCCAGAAGCCCCUGUCUCAGUGAUGCCCAGUCCAAGGCGAAGAGGCCACAGAGGAGGUCAGAGGCUGAAGUGUGAACUCCAGUGCAAACCGUGAGCUCCAUCCGGGAGUGGGCAGGCUUCACUGUCUUGCUCGUGUGUGGUCCCUCAUUUGGUUAUGGCAGGCCCAGUCGAGUACCGUCCUUCGCCCGACCUCCCCACUUGCCAGGAGUCAGGGUAUGCAGCACCCUUUUAAGAAUUUGAUGAAAACCAUGAACACUCUUCCUGGAAAAAGGUACAUAAACACAAAUGCUUGCCUAUAAUUCAAGAGGGUUAGGAGGGUUAGGAAUCUCGGUCUUAAGCUGUCAAACCUUUUUUUUUUAUUUAAGAUUUUAUUUGAGAGCGUGUGUGAGCAGGGGGAGGGGCAGAGGGAGGGAGAAUCACAAGCAGGCUCUGCACUCAGUGUGGAGCCUGACAUGGGCUUGAUCCCAUGACCCUGGGAUCAUGACCUGAGCCAAAAUCAAGAGUUGGACGCUUAACUGACUGAGCCACGCAGGUGCCCCAGAGUUUUUGAGCAGUAGCAAUUUAAUCUUUGGUCAGCUAAUCUCAUGCUUGUGGACUGAUGACCACAGGCACUGUGUGUUCAAGUAAAACGCAGCCCACACAUGUCAAAGUCCUGGUAUGCAGUACGUCAAUUAUAUGAGUAGAUUUUCUGUAAUUACCUCAUCUAAGUCAGUAUGAAACCCCACUAGGGAUGGGGAGAAAAGUCAUUCAUUCAUAAUGAAGUGAUCUGAAUGUCAGGAGUUGUUUGAAAAUUUCCCUCGCGUGUGAGAAAUAGAAGAUGCAAAACCUCUUAAAGGUGUAAAACAUUAUCUCAUAACAAGUGUCUGGGAAUACACUGAGCUUUGAGUGAAGAAAGGCUUGCUGGGGAUAAGUAUAUACUCCAGGCUUCUGGAUCCUACCCUUAAGACUCAAAGACCUUUAUCCUGAGAAUAGAUGUGCGCAGUUAGGCUUUGAAAUGCAGACAUUUUCCUUGUCACUGCAACUUUGACUUGCCCCAGAGUUGAAGGUUUCCAGAACCGUCAGUCCGAAGAGGAGGAGGUAGGGAUUCUGCCUUUUGCCUCUGGCAGAACUGGGGCAAGAACCCUCUAACCAACUCAGUGGCUUAGAGAAACAGUUGGGGUGACAUUUUUCACUUAAAUGUGGCUCUGGGAUUUUUGUUAAUCCAUGAGAAGAAAUGAAUUAUUUUAAAGCAUCAGAAGACUUUUUUUAAACUGCAAAGUACCAUUUUUCUCCCUAUCAAUCACUUUCAUCAAUUUGGUAAAAUGAAGACGGAUUCCCUUCCACUGGUACCAUUACAUCAAGCUGCUUAUGAACUGCACACGUCCUGGGGCUGUCUGACCUACAGAAGGGGCCGCUGGCACUGGGAGUCUGGUCUUCAUCUACUGCCAAGCCUCCCUGGCUUCCCCUAAGGUUUGUGCUUGGCAGAGCAAGAGAGGGAGCACUGAGGUGGUGGUUAGGACAGUGGUGUCUCCCAAGUGUCAAGAGAUGCAGGUUAGGGGCGCCUGGGUGGCUCAGUCAUUAAGCGUCUGCCUUCGGCUCAGGUCAUGAUCCCAGGGUCCUGGGAUCGAGUCCCGCAUCGGGCUCCCUGCUCCGCGGGGAGUCUGCUUCUAUCUGCCUCUCUGCCUUCUUGUGCUCUCUUCUCUGUCAAAUAAAUAAGUAAAAUCAACAACAAAAAGAUGCAGGUUAGGAGCAGUUAACUCAGGAACUGGUUCAGUGACUUCUAAUCACACUCUUUGUUUUAGUGGGAAAUAGUGGUACUGUUCUGUGGUAGAUUAUGUAUGACAUUUAAUUUGUAAUAUAAUCCAGUACAACACGAGUAUGGGUAUUUUUGUUUUAAUGAGAAAUAUUUGAGUUGUACAUACCACAAAUAGCUUCAAGUUUCUGUAACAAACCCCCAUGGCCAAACAGCUAAACAAUACCUGAAGCAGGACUUUAAAGGUGAAAAGUCUUAUAAAAUUAACUUACAAAAACCUCCCUAUCAAGUAGUUUGGCAUUUACUGUACAUUAGUCAAAAGCUCAAGCUAAAAUCGGAUGUUUUUUUAAAAAAAUCGAAGUUUACAUUCA
Molecule: RNA transcript, 4065 nt
Organism: Mirounga angustirostris (Northern elephant seal)
Lineage: Eukaryota; Metazoa; Chordata; Mammalia; Carnivora; Phocidae
Gene: ESR2
Gene name: estrogen receptor 2
Exons: 10
Source: RefSeq, a predicted model, not a curated record